GAACAUUCCAGGCUCUGUGAACUAAGUGACUGAAGCUGAUUGACACAGGUCAAGGGGACUUCAAGGAAGAAAGCCAGCCUUAGACUGACAUCAGAGAACCAAACUCCGGUGUCUAAGCUCAAGGGGCUUUUGAUGAGGAGACCAAAAGGCAGCUCUGAGCACAACCCACCCAAGAGCUUUCCUGAAUUAAUGAGCUAGCUACAGGCUCAAUGAGAAACCCUAUCUUAAAAUGCAAGAAUCCUAACUCUCUCUGAUGCCAGAUGCCCCACCUCCUAAUCCUGCCUCAGCUUAUUGACCAAUCAGCUUUUUAUGGACAGAGGUUAGAAUCCUGAGAACUGUUUGGAAUAAGGAAUCCAAAUAUUGUCUUCCAGCUUCACCUUGUCACGACAGUCCUCGCCAGGGACAGCUGAGCCUUGCGUGGAUGAAACAGUCCCAACGAACACUUUAAAAAGACAAAUGUUCCCGACAGCACUGGUUGAAUUCAAAACUCGGCAGAUCCAUGUUCUUAUCCUUAGACAAGAGAGGGGCCAUAACAAGAUGGAAUGACGGAACAGACGUGAGAGAUGAUGGUACAGUGACUCGGGUAACCCCAGAAAAGGGACAGCUCUUCUACAGCUCAGUGGGGACAGGGACAAAAAGAAACAAUUUCAUUUCAGUCCACCCAGAGGGUCUGCACUUCUCGGAGCCAGAAGGUGGAGAAGAGUAGGGAUGGAGGAAGUUCGAAGUUUUAGGAGUCUGCUCUUGGGUCCCUAGGCAUGAGGACAAGCUUUUCCUGUACUCAAUGCUCAUCUCUCAGUUGUGCCCACAUUGGUACACAUUACUUGCUUUCAACUGCUGCUGCUGCUGUUUCCUAAUUCAAUAAAGAUAUGGCUGGCUCA
Molecule: long non-coding RNA, 878 nt
Filed under: Mus musculus (house mouse)
Lineage: Eukaryota; Metazoa; Chordata; Mammalia; Rodentia; Muridae
Description: predicted gene 29154
Source: RNAcentral